ACUUCUUCAAUCUUCACUACGAUAACACAUUUGGUUCUGUUUCCACUUUCCAACAUUCGCUUUGUUAUCUUCUCCGAGGAGGGAAGUCUAAAUGUGGUGCCUACCAACUGUUCGACCUAAUGUCUCAGAGAUGUUCAAGUGUUCUUCUUCUCUCCGUCGUUUUCAUUCUCCGAUGCUCAAACAAGCCACAGCUGCAAGAUUCUCCACCACUUCUUCAUCUCCUUAUCUUCCUCCUUUAUUCAGCGUCGCACCGAUGAUGGAGUGGACAGACAAUCAUUACAGGACGCUUGCUCGCAUCAUAACAAAACAUGCUUGGCUUUACACUGAGAUGAUUGCUGCUCAAACUCUUAUUCACCAGCAGACCAAUUUGACAGGUCUCCUUCUUGUGUUGCAUCAGGACAGGUUCUUGGCGUUUUCUCCGCAGCAACAUCCUAUUGUUCUUCAGCUUGGAGGGAGCAAUGUGGAGAGCCUUGCAAAAGCUGCUAAGCUUUCUCAUCCUUACGGAUACGAUGAAAUUAAUCUCAACUGUGGAUGCCCUAGCCCUAAGGUAGCUGGACAUGGAUGCUUUGGUGUUACCCUCAUGCUCAACCCCAAGCUUGUUGGAGAGGCAAUGUCUGCCAUUGCUGAUAAUACCAACGUCCCUGUUACUGUGAAAUGUCGAAUUGGUGUAGACGAUCAUGAUUCCUAUGAUGAGCUCUGUGACUUUGUUUACAAGGUUUCUACUCUGUCACCAACUAGGCAUUUCAUUGUUCAUUCGCGCAAGGCACUUCUUGGUGGAAUAAGCCCUGCUGAUAACCGGAGAAUCCCUCCUCUAAAUUUAGGUACGAGUACUACUAUGCCCUUGCGCGUGACUUUCCAGACUUGAAAUUCACAAUUAAUGGCGGCAUUACUUCUGUAUCGAAGGUAAACGCUGCACUGGAGAAAGGAGCUCACGGAGUCAUGGUAGGCCGCGCUGCAUAUAACAACCCCUAGCAGACCCUGGGACUUGUUGACACUGCAGUUUAUGGUGUUCCAAGUAGUGGCCUAACACGCAGACAGGUUCCAUGGAAUAUUUUUGAGCUUUUAAGUUGCUUUGUCUCCCAAAUUUUCUGUUCAAAGAAAAGUCUGAUGUCUCUGAGUGUUGGGCCAGGUUCUUGAGAAAUAUCAAGUCCCAAAUUUUGCUUCCUUUAUAUCUGAACCAUUCCUCCAUAGUUAAAAGUUUAACUAUGUUCUUGAUUUUUGUAGUUUUGUAUAAUAAUCAUAAAUAUUAUGAAAAUACUUUUAACUUUAAA
This is an RNA transcript of Raphanus sativus (radish), 1271 nucleotides long. RefSeq lists it as uncharacterized. The transcript is spliced from 9 exons. Lineage: Eukaryota; Viridiplantae; Streptophyta; Magnoliopsida; Brassicales; Brassicaceae. The record is from RefSeq and is a predicted model, not a curated record.